CUCUCUCUCUCUCUCUCUCUCUCUCUCUCUCUCUCUCUAAGUCUUCAUCUUUUAGCAGCUAGCAUUGUGCAUGGAGGGGACUGCUUAUGUUGAUUGGGUGGAGGUGUUGCCGAUUAUGUGGUGCUCGUGAUCAAUCAGAAAAUUUGACUGCAAAGGAAUUGCAUUACAAGAGGUAUAACUUUGAUUCCUUAUCUUGUUCAUUCGUAAGGAUCCAUUUCAAGGGAAAUAUUUUGUUUUUACUCGCUGUGUUUAUUCUGUUAUAAUAUACGAUUCCCUUUAGUGUUUAUAAGUGGAGGUAAUAUUCACCCCAAAAACUAAUUAUGUGGGAUUGUGUUAAGUCCAACCACAAUUUCUAAGAAUUCAUAUUUGGUGAUAGAUUUCAAAACAUUUGGCUCAUUGGAAAACUAAUUAGCAUUGUAGGUGUACAUUGGUGAUUUUUUUUUUUAAACUUUAGUACAGGAUUGUCCUUCGCUUUUUCUAACAAAUCUACAAUUUUGAUCUUCUUAUUUUUAAUUUCACAAAUUAAUACCUCUAUUUUUUAAAAUUUAUACAUUUGGUCUACCAAUCAAUGCGACUCUUAGUUUUGAUUAAGUAGAAAAUAGAUGCGAGAUGUGGCAUUUAAUGUAGGCAAAUUCUAUGAUACACCCAAUAUAUUUGAGUGCAUCGGUACACCAAUUCUUUAAAUUAAUAGUUAAAUGAGUUGUUUUUUGAAAAAAAAUAUUAUUUUUUAUCAUUUAUAAUUAUAAUAACUAAAUCUUAUUCAUCAAAAGUGUCAACGAAAUAUUUUUUUUUUUGAAUUUUUAUCACUCAUAAUUGAGAACAUUUAUUAUUUUUUACGAUAAUAUGUAAAAAAAAGUUACUAUGAUUCUUAUAAACAGUAAAAUGAUAUAUUUUUUCGUAUGAAAUGUUGUUCUGUAAAAUAUAAGUAUUGACAAAUAGCUAUUUACAACAUAAAAAAUGAUCGUUAAUUUAUAAAAUUAAGAUGCAAGAGUACCGGUACACCUCAUCUUGUGAGUGUACCGUAGACCUUUAAUGUAUGCUUAAGCGGAUUUGUAAAAAAAAAGCAUGCUUAAGUGAAAGCCAUGUCACCGUUUAUGCUACUUAACAUUAGAUCAUUACAAGUUUGUAGUAAUGUUCGAUAUUUUCAUAACCCAUAAGAGCAAACAAUGUCUAAAAGGCUAUUCGAAAUAUUAACAUGUAAAAGAAAUAUAAAUUGCAGUUUGAGAAAAUUUACAAAUGUAACAGUAUUAUUAUGACACGUACAUAAAAUCACAGGCUUAGAAGUAACAAAACUGUUUUGUAAACUUAACUAUUACAGAUAUUAUAAUGAGCGGUAUGGUGGAAAAGAAAAUGUGAUAUCCUUAAAUUGGAGUUCAUGGGGAUAUUAUAAUUGGAUUUCAUUAUCAUAAUUUUAGAGAGCUAUUAUAUCACUAAAAAGUUUUUGAAAUAAUAAAAAGGAAAAAAAAAAACAUUUUUUUGGGUGGCAAGAAAAUAACUAAAUGACAGCUUGUGGAACAUUAUAGCAGAGCAUUUGUGUUCUAUUUUGGGUCUGAAACUAAAUGAAGAAUUAUGUGAGCACAUGAUAGUUUCACCACCUUUUAUAACAAUGAUUGCAAUAUCCAUCCUCACACCCCGGUUUAUAACCAGGGGGACACAUAUUUUGUGGACAAUCAGAACCAGUAUUACAUGGAUAAGGCCCUGUAACAAAAAAAAAAAGACAAUAAAAAGUGUAACUAAAAUGGGAUAAUAUAUUGUGUCGAAAGUAGAGAAUAAAAUCUUAACUGGUUAAAAAUGGUUUACUUCCUCCCUUCGUUGCAACCAAAAAUAGGGAAACAAAGAUAAUCAUACUAUAAACAAAAUUGACAAUUUUAGCCAUAUUCCCCUCCUUUUUUUCUUCUUCAUAAUAUAUGUAUUUAUCACAUUUUCAUUUAUAAAGCUCAUCUUCUUCUUAACAUUAUAAAUAUUUAAAAAUAUUCAUGAGUUGUGUUUGUCUCUUCAGCAUACUAAUAAAAGGUCACACAAAAAAAAAAAACUUUUUAAAUUUAUAUAUAUUACAAUGUUCUUUUAUAUGUUUAUAAUAUAUUAACAUAUUAAUAUAUUAGUUAUGACUAUAUAAUUUAUAAAGGUCAUCUACUUCUUCACAUUAUAAAUAUUAAAAAAUAUUCAUGUGCAGUAUUUGUUUGUUAGGCAUAAAGAAAGAGUUAACACAAAAAUUUAUUCUUAAUACUCCCUCCGUCCCAAAUUAUAUGAUGUUUUUGGGCAUUUCACACGUAUUAAGAAAUGUAAUUAAUAUUGUGUGGGAAAGAGAUAUUAUGAGUUUUUCUACAAAAUUGUCCUUAAUAAAUGAUAUGGGAAAGAUAAAUGAAAGAAUUGAAAGAAGAGAGAGUAAUAAAUAGUUAAGAAUAUAAUAGAAAAAGUAACAUUAAUAUUACAUUGAUAUUGUAAAGCGACAUAUAAUUUGAGACAAAUUUUUUUUCUUCUUCAAAAUGACAUACAAUUUAGGACGGAGAGAGUAUUAUAUUAAGAAGCUGUCCUCCUUGAAUAUUCAAAAAUUCUUCUGAAAAUUUUAAUAGAACACGUCAUCUGCAAGUUUUCCUCCUUGAAUAUCUCGAUAGGACAUGUCUUUAUUUUGAUAGCAUGAUGAGACAAGUUAAUUUUUUUUGGUGUUUGACGUUCGAUCCACAGAUCUUACAUAUAUUAUGUAUUGUCCUUAGAACUAAGCUUAUGGGAACAAACAAGUUAAUUUAUUAAUAUGAUGGAAUAUGCUGUUUGAUUUGCUAACUUAAUUGAUUUAAUUCUAGAAUGGUUUUUACGAGUUUGUAACAAAUUCAUGAAUUCACGCAAUCAACCAUUAAAGAUCUUGGGAUUUGUUCAAAACUAGUCUCGAACCACCAACUUUUUCAUUUCCUUAAUCUUUAGUCUAAACUCAAGAAAAUUAAAUACAUUUUUUUUAAGAAACUAAAAUGGUAUAUAUUCACAAUAACAAAGACGCCUGUUAAGCAUAAGGCGAAUUAAAGAGAUCACUCAAAGUACAAAUAGUAUGUCAAAUAGAUACAAAAUAAGGCAUCAACCGAUACCCAAACAAAACAAAGAGUCUGACCGCCACUGCUGACAACCAUACACAAAAGAGGAACUAUUAGCCCUUAACCACACGUAAGAAUUAAACUAAUUUACCUUUUCCAUAAGACUCGUAAUGGAAGUAUAAACAUUAUUAAAAAUUAUAUUAUUACGUUCUUUCCAUAUGAGCCAAACACAAAGAAGCCACAGUAACAGAAGGAAUGAUCUACGACUCCUCGAGCCACCUAAAUAGUUGGUAAAAUGAGUGGUGAGGCUAUGGUGAUCAACACCUGAAAAGCCAAGCCACAAACGAACUUGCUGCCAUAAAGAGCCGAAAAUUUCACAAUUAAUAAACAAAUGUUAGCGCUUUCAACGUGACCGCAACCCGCCACUCAAGAAAUAUCAUCAGCAUCUAUUAUACCACAGUCAAGGAGGUUGAUUUUUCUUGGCAACUUGUCACGAAGCAACCACCAAGCUAAGAUAGAAACCUUUUAGGGAACCAGAGGAUGCCAAAUAAGAGUCUAUUAAUCCCCCAAUCGAAGAGGAAGGCUGAGUAGUGAGCAACUGAUAUCCUGAACGCACCGAAUAACCCCCCACAAUGUCGGGGUGCCAUUGCAAGUGAUCUGAAACACUAGACAGCAAAGUAACAUUAGCAAGUAAGAUCCUACACUCCGCUACCAACUCCUCCUCCCAUGCCCACAACCUCCUCCUCCCCUACCAUGCCUCACCCCAUUCAUCCCAACCUAGAGAGAACAUGUAUAGUUGCCACUGUAAGCGACUUGUUCUCUGCUAACUCAAGCAACCGACUGAAACGCUGACAGAGAGGAACCUCCCCUAACCAUCGAUCAUACCAAAAAAAGAGUUUCUGCCCCAUCUCCCACCUUUUCGCAACACCAUCUCUGAAAACCAACCCACCCCCUCCUCACUUACACCAUCUCUAAUCCUAGCCACCUCCCUCCUCCAAUAAUAACCACUCCAGUCUCCAACUUCCAACCUCCUCACCAUACCUUGCAGCCAACACCCGAUACCAAAAACCACCUCUAUUAACUAACAUCCUCCAACACCACUUUCCUAACAUAGAUAUAUUAAACUCCCUCAACUAUGUAAACCCCAACCCUCCAUACAUGAUCCUCACUCCCCCCUCACACACACACACAAAAAUAAAGAAAGAAAGAAAGAGUAUAGACAAGCAGAGUGGUCAGGACGAAUUUUAAUAGUGUCAAGAAGCUGUUGGAACAAAAUGUGUUUAACAUUACCCUUUGAGUUUUGAUGAUAACUGUAACGCCCUAUUUAAUUAUUUUAUUGGGUUUAGAGUCUAAUUAUAUGAUUUAAUUGUUUAUGUGUUAAGUUGUUAUGUUGAUAAGGGACUUUAUUUAUUAUUUAGUAGAAAAUGAUUAAAAAUAGAAUAAUUAGACUUGAGGGGCUGAAUUAGAAUUUAGAGGAGUUUAGUGGAAUUAAGUAGAAUAAAGAAAAUUGAUUAAGGAAAUAAAAAUAAGGAAACUAAGAGUCAGAUAGUUUUUCACGUAAAACAAGAUUUUGGGAGAAAAGGGAGAAAGCGGUAGAACCUUGGGAUCAAUCAAUCUAAGGUAAGGGUGAAACUAACUUUCUCUAAUUCUAAGUUGUAUGAUUCUGAAACUGGAUUUAACAGGUGGUAGAUUGUAGUUUUGGGAAUUUGAGAAUUAGGUUUAGAAGUUGUAAUUGGUUGUUUUAAUAGUAGAAAAUCUGUUGAUUUCGUUUAGAAUUAGUGUUCAGACCUUAGAUCGUUCAUAUCGCAAUGUUCCAAUCAGUUUUGGGGUUUGGGUUGAUGAAAAUUGGGAUUUUCGCUUGAAAAGUCGGUGUCUAAACGUUUUUGCAAAUAAAGGAUUAUGUGACGUUUGGGAAAAUGAUUCUUGGGAUGGUUGAGACUUGAAAUUUCUGUAGAUUAUGAUAGAGCUAAGUGUCAGGAGCGUGUAGGCGAAAACGGAAUCAAAAUCCGAUUAACGGUUUCAAUUUUACGCGCGAAAUGGUGAAAAUCGUACUUUUUGAAAAGUUGAUUUCUGAACCUGAUGCUGUCAAAACGUGUCACGAUUUUGCAAGCGUGGCACAAUUUUGUUGGCCGAAAGUUCAGUGGUUCUGGGCAUAAAAACGCACCGGGAUUUCUAAAAAACGUGACACGAUUUUUGUGAACCAGAUCCUUCAUAUUUCACUAUUUUCACCCCUUUCCGCUUUGAACUGGGUUUUGGUGUAAAAAUGAAAGUUGUAGAUAAUUGUGUUAGCUUUCCAGUGGCUUUGGUUUGACUUCAAAAUGAUUUUUGGUUUUUGAGAUAUGAUGAAAAUACUCCAAGGAGGUCUUAGUGAAAUUUUAUGAAAAUUCCGCAUAACUAUUUCUAAGUCAACCCAAAACUUAUGGAUCGUCUCCAAACUUCAAAACUUGUGUACUAUGAGAUUAAUUAAGGUGCUUAAGAGUAUUUAACCUAUGUUGUGAUGGAUCUAAUUUGGUUUGACGUGAAUAUCUUUGUUGGAUAAUUUGAAAUACAUAUAUUAUGUGAAUAUGGUAUGUUGUAGAAAUAUUGUUGUUCAUAUCAUUCAAGUUGAUGUUGUUAACGAUGUUAAGUUGCAAGUUGUUAUAUUUGUUGUCAUUGUUGUUGUUGUGUUAAUGUCGUCAAGUUGCAAGUGGUCUAAGUUGUUAAAGUUAUUGGUUGCUGAGUCCAUGCAUACUCAUUAAAGUUGAGGGUUCAUGCCCUGUUGAAUGUAUAAUCAUUCAUAUCAAGUUGAGGGCUUGAUGCUCUGAGAACCUAUUUUAACACUCCGUUUUCCCAACUUAAAAAUUUCAAACAUAUAAUCAGAGUAAUCAUCACAUAAACGGAAUGCUACACUUCUAAAAUCGUAAACAAGAUAAUUAACUAAUUAUCCUUCAACAUAAUUCAAAUUCCAAAACAUUGCAGCGGAUAAGUUCAUCAUCAUAAAUAAAGUCUUGGCACGCAGGCCUCAUCAAAAUAUCUCAUAAAUUCAGUUAAACACCUUAUUCAUAAAUCAAAUACGUAAAGGAACAAGAAAUAGCCACAAAAGAUCCCAUCUCGUUACGUAUCAGAGCACCAAAAAGGACACAGUGAGGGAUAACCACUCACGACAGCAACUCCAGCUACUUAAACUUGAUCACCUGCAAGUUACUCACACGAAGAGCAAUCUUUCCAAGCAGAAGGGGUGAGAUUUCACAAAACAAUAAUAUUAAGCAUAUAAUUCAACAAUUAUAUUUAACAAUAAGAAAUCAUCAUAAUAUUCAUCAUAGAUAAUAAUGUAUCAUUUAUCACUUCAUUCAUAGUUAUAUAAACAAUCACAACUUCACAACUUAACAUCUUUGACUCGACAAAUGCGACUAUGCAACUUAAACCUCUUAUAUGCAUGUGGUACCAAUCAACGUAAUAAGUAUUAAUAUACUUACAAAGCAUCAAACCCCCAACAUAAUUGAGAUAAAGCUCCAGGGCAUCAAGCCCCCAACAUGGUGAGCAAAGGCUCCAGGGCAUCAAGCCCCCAACAAUGAAUGCUAAUGCAUGGACACAACAUCUUAACAACUUAAAACAACAUCAUCUUAUAAGUCCAAUAAUUUGGAACAUCAUCAUCAUCAUCUUAGACCGACUCAUGCAGCUUAGUUAAACAACAAACAGCAACAUAGGCAGUAUGCAAAUCAUCAUGAUAUAACAAUAUCGAAUGCAAUCAACAUCUCAUUUAUCAACAUAAUCCAUUUAAUGUAUAUAAAACAUUAUAAACAACAUCAAUUCAUAUGCAUCAGUCUUACUGGAACAAUAACAACAAGGUAAACAACUUAGUUUCUAACCUCUAAGAUUAACUCACAUAAACUUGUGCGACAAAGAUCGCAUUUAACAUAAGCAAGGCAUUCUGUAACACAAGUAAUCUCGAGGCGAGAGCCUCUGCUCGCCAUGGUGAGUUCAGGUUUAGUUCACAAAAAUUUCAUUCUAAAAUCUUUUCAGGUUCAAUCUCAUUCUCUAAUCUUUCCUAAUCAUUAUUAGACAUGUUCAGGCACUCAAAAGCAUCUAAGGAUCAACUCAAAAGUCAAUAGUACGAAAUCUGGAUAGCUCUCUGGUCAUGCUCGCUAUGGCGAGUUCAUCUGUUCGCUAUGGCGAGCUGCGACGUGCAACUCGCGAGGCGAGGGAAAAUGGUCCGCGAGGCGAGCGAUGAACUUCAUCACUCGCGAGGUGAGGAUCAUCGUUCGCGAGGGCGAGCGAUGAAUGUUGGCUCGGGCAAAAGUGUAGUUUUCACGAAAAUUCAUCUUUUCUCAUGGUUUUAAGCCUAACAUUGAUUCCAGAAUUCAUCCUACACAUUAUCUAAGGUCUAGGAACAGUUCCUACAUCAAUCUAACAAGUUUCCACCGUUUAAUCAUUAAUUCUACAAUUUUGACCUAGUUUUCAAAACCUCUAAAACUCAUCCUACAUCAUGUUAAACAUAACCAUUGAAUCACUGACUUAAUAGAAUUGCAAAGUUAGUCUCAACCUUACCUUAAUACUCAAAAUCGCAGCUUCCUAGGUCUUCUUGCUCUUCUCUUGGCUUUUUCUCCCUUUUUCCAAAUCUUAUUUUAUUAAACUAUAAAAUAAGUCACAACUCCUCAUAAAUCACAUAAAGUCAUCUCAAUCAUAUAUACCCCUUAAAUCACACAUAUAUCAUAUAAAUAUAAUAUAGACUCAUCUUACUAACUUAUAGACUUAAUUAAAUAAUUAAUUAAUUCAAAGAGGGCUUUACAACUCUCCCAAACUUAUAAGAUUUUCGUCCUCGAAAAUUUACCUCAAGCAAACAACUCUGGAUAAGAUUCCAACAUCUUACUCUCUAGCUCCCACGUUAAGCUUUCACCAGUCGCUCCGUCCCAAACGACUCUCACAAGAGGUAUAUCCUUGCCUCUNCUCUCUCUCUCUCUCUCUCUCUCUCUCUCUCUCUCUCUCUCUCUCUCUCUCUCUCUCUCUCUCUAAGUCUUCAUCUUUUAGCAGCUAGCAUUGUGCAUGGAGGGGACUGCUUAUGUUGAUUGGGUGGAGGUGUUGCCGAUUAUGUGGUGCUCGUGAUCAAUCAGAAAAUUUGACUGCAAAGGAAUUGCAUUACAAGAGGUAUAACUUUGAUUCCUUAUCUUGUUCAUUCGUAAGGAUCCAUUUCAAGGGAAAUAUUUUGUUUUUACUCGCUGUGUUUAUUCUGUUAUAAUAUACGAUUCCCUUUAGUGUUUAUAAGUGGAGGUAAUAUUCACCCCAAAAACUAAUUAUGUGGGAUUGUGUUAAGUCCAACCACAAUUUCUAAGAAUUCAUAUUUGGUGAUAGAUUU
This 8355-nucleotide long non-coding RNA is filed under the name Medicago truncatula (barrel medic). RNAcentral's name for it is "long non-coding RNA (MTRU_LNC000290)". The record is from RNAcentral. Lineage: Eukaryota; Viridiplantae; Streptophyta; Magnoliopsida; Fabales; Fabaceae.